RNAcentral lists this ribosomal RNA (157 nucleotides) under Trichoderma paraviridescens. RNAcentral describes it as "5.8S ribosomal RNA". It matches the Rfam family "5.8S ribosomal RNA". Rfam says of the family: 5.8S ribosomal RNA (5.8S rRNA) is a component of the large subunit of the eukaryotic ribosome. It is transcribed by RNA polymerase I as part of the 45S precursor that also contains 18S and 28S rRNA. Functionally, it is thought that 5.8S rRNA may be involved in ribosome translocation. The record is from RNAcentral. Lineage: Eukaryota; Fungi; Ascomycota; Sordariomycetes; Hypocreales; Hypocreaceae.
AAACUUUCAACAACGGAUCUCUUGGUUCUGGCAUCGAUGAAGAACGCAGCGAAAUGCGAUAAGUAAUGUGAAUUGCAGAAUUCAGUGAAUCAUCGAAUUAUUGAUCGCACAUUGCGCCCGCCAGUAUUCUGGCGGGCAUGCCUGUCCGAGCGUCAUU